CACGCUGGGUGAUCUACCCUUGGUUUGGGGAUAGCUCGUGGAAACACAGGGAUAAUACCGAAUACGUCGGCAGGACUGCGGUCCUGUCGGGAAAGGCGCUAAGGCGCCNACCGAGGAUGAGCCCGCGCCCCAUUAGCUAGUUGGUGAGGUAAUGGCCCACCAAGGCUAUGAUGGGUAGCCGGCCUGAGAGGGUGUACGGCCACACUGGGACUGAGAUACGGCCCANACUCCUAC
Molecule: ribosomal RNA, 234 nt
Filed under: uncultured Bacillota bacterium
Lineage: Bacteria; Bacillati; Bacillota
Description: uncultured Firmicutes bacterium partial 16S ribosomal RNA
Rfam family: Bacterial small subunit ribosomal RNA
Source: RNAcentral